RNAcentral lists this ribosomal RNA (467 nucleotides) under uncultured bacterium. RNAcentral describes it as "partial 16S ribosomal RNA". It matches the Rfam family "Bacterial small subunit ribosomal RNA", at positions 28 to 507 of the family's 1533-position model. The record is from RNAcentral.
GACGAACGCUGGCGGCGUGCUUAACACAUGCAAGUCGAACGAUGACGACCGAGCUUGCUCGGUCUGAUUAGUGGCGCACGGGUGCGUAACACGUAAGCAACCUGCCCUUCACUCUGGGAUAACCUCGGGAAAUCGGGGCUAAUACCGGAUAUGAGCACCAGUCGCCAGCCGGGUGUGGGAAAGCUUUUCGGGGUCGGAUGGGGUCGCGGGCUUUCUGGUUGUUGGUGCGGUAGGGGCUCACAAAGGCGAUGACGGGUAGCCGGCCUGUGAGGGCGACCGGCCACACUGGGACUGAGACACGGCCCAGACGCCGACGGGAGGCAGCAGUGGGGAAUAUUGCACAAUGGGCGAAAGCCUGAUGCAGCGACGCCGCGUGAGGGAUGACGGCCUUCGGGUUGUAAGCCUCUUUCAGCAGGGAAGAAGCGAAAGUGACGGUACCUGCAGAAGAAGCGCCGGCUAACUACGUG